RNAcentral lists this long non-coding RNA (1062 nucleotides) under Suricata suricatta (meerkat). RNAcentral's name for it is "lncRNA (ENSSSUG00005007768.1)". The record is from RNAcentral. Lineage: Eukaryota; Metazoa; Chordata; Mammalia; Carnivora; Herpestidae.
GUUUGGGUUGCCCUUAAUCUGCUUCUUUUCCCCAUUUUCUCUCCUUCCCGAAUUUACAAGCUCAAAAUCUAUACUGCUUCCAUUUCUAAGCGUUCAUUUCCUAUCAUGCUACUGAGUCGGCCCGCGACCCACAACGAACGGUUCCUGUGGGGGAGGGGUGAGUGGAACAAGGAGAGACAAGGGGACAAGUCUGCAGUUGCUGAUCAAGUCCGUUUAUUGAGAGAACACACACAUCUUUUAAAGGCAGAAAACGGGCAACUUGACAUCUACAGGAAGGAUGAGGAGGAAGGAUGGGUGGAAAUUAACCAGUAUAUUAACUGACAUGACACUCUUCUCUCUACCGGGGAUCAGAAACUCUCUUUGAGGUACUCAUCAUUGUUAUAAGGUCAUAGGAAUAUAUUACAGCUUAAUGGUUCGGAAUUUAGGUUUGGGAGUUCAUUCGUUGUGAAAUCGACCAGUGUAUUGACCUGGGCAAAUCACCCAACUUUUCCAAAUCUAAGUUUUAUCCAAGACAAAAUAGCACAUUACUUGGCUACUUAUUAUUCUCCAAGCAAAAAAAUUAUAUAACACCUUAAUUUUUCUGAUCACGUUUUCCCAGGCUGGUGCUCUCUCCUUUCAGGGAUGUAGUAAUGUCUAUUUUUCAUGACCUCCCCGACCUUUCUAUGUGCCCUGUACCCCCAAAUACUCAAGUGUGUGCUGAGGACCCUAAGUGGAUUUUUUUAACUUUGAAAUCUCCGCGAGCUUAUUUUACUCAACUAACAUUUUAAAGUCUUAAUAUUUCAUUCCUUCCCCCCCCCCCCAAGAAAUCUGUCUCAAGACUAUAUGACACAGAAAUCCAGCCUGAGUUCCAGCUUGCUAGCCAGCUCUACACGUAAGCCCAUCAGGUAGGUAAGGGAUGACAUAGAUAGAUGAUAGACUGGUUGAUGACAGAUAGAUGCAUCUAGAACGGGGAUCUCUAUAGGGAGAGAGAUGAGAGAGAGAUUUACCACGCAUGUUCUGCUUCCCUGGAAGAGCAUGACUGAAAGAGUUACUGACAUUUCUUAGCAUCUUGUUCCCAAGCAA